RNAcentral lists this ribosomal RNA (557 nucleotides) under Blastocystis sp. RNAcentral's name for it is "SSU rRNA". It matches the Rfam family "Eukaryotic small subunit ribosomal RNA", at positions 14 to 583 of the family's 1831-position model. The record is from RNAcentral. Lineage: Eukaryota; Bigyra; Opalinata; Blastocystidae.
CUGCCAGUAGUCAUACGCUCGUCUCAAAGAUUAAGCCAUGCAUGUGUAAGUAUAAAUAAUUCUACUUUGAAACUGCGAAUGGCUCAUUAUAUCAGUUAUAGUUUAUUAGAAAUAGUGUACUACUUGGAUAACCGUAGUAAUUCUAGGGCUAAUACAUGAGUAAAUCCUCGACUUUUGAAGAGGUGUGUUUAUUAGUAUGAAAACCAUAUGCUUUUGCAUGAUAGUGAGUAAUAAUAACCUUUCAUAUCGCCUGUUUUAAAUAGCGAUAGUUCUUUCAAGUUUCUGCCCUAUCAGCUUUCGAUGGUAGUGUAUUGGACUACCAUGGCAGUAACGGGUAACGAAGAAUUUGGGUUCGAUUUCGGAGAGGGAGCCUGAGAGAUGGCUACCACAUCCAAGGAAGGCAGCAGGCGCGUAAAUUACCCAAUCCUGACAUAGGGAGGUAGUGACAAUAAAUCACAAUGCGGGACUAUUUAGUUUUGCAAUUGAAUUGAGAACAAUGUACAAGAGUUAUCGAUAAACAAUUGGAGGGCAAGUCUGGUGCCAGCAGCCGCGGUAAU